RNAcentral lists this small nuclear RNA (107 nucleotides) under Octodon degus (degu). The record is from RNAcentral. Lineage: Eukaryota; Metazoa; Chordata; Mammalia; Rodentia; Octodontidae.
GUGCUCGCUUUGGCAGCACAUAUACUAAAAUUGGAGUGAUACAGAGAAGAUUAGGAUGGCCCCUGUGCAAGGAUGACACACAAAUUCAUGAAGCGUUCCAUAUUUUU